GCCCUGCUGGUUCAAUCGGUGGAACAUGUGACUCUUGAUCUCAGGGUAGUGAGUUUGAGUCCCACAUUGGGCA
Molecule: transfer RNA, 73 nt
Filed under: Canis lupus familiaris (dog)
Lineage: Eukaryota; Metazoa; Chordata; Mammalia; Carnivora; Canidae
Also listed under: 1 other name
Rfam family: tRNA
About the family: Transfer RNA (tRNA) molecules are approximately 80 nucleotides in length. Their secondary structure includes four short double-helical elements and three loops (D, anti-codon, and T loops).
Source: Rfam by way of RNAcentral